Molecule: long non-coding RNA, 2235 nt
Organism: Anolis carolinensis (green anole)
Lineage: Eukaryota; Metazoa; Chordata; Lepidosauria; Squamata; Anolidae
Exons: 3
Source: RefSeq, a predicted model, not a curated record
UUGAAAAUCAGUGUGGAAAUGAAACCGGGAGCGAGGGAGGGGGAGAGAGCCAAAGAGGAGGAGGAAGACAAUGACGGUGAAGAUGAGAAGGAGGAGGAGGUGAAGGAAGAAGAGUCGCUCCCCAAAGGGGGAGAAGAGGGCAGAAAGAACUGGAGAGAAACUGAAACUGGCAGAUUUAUCCUUCCAAGCAGAGGGCACUGAAAGGAACUGCAAUGGCACAAUGGGUUAAACCCUUGUGCUUGCUGGACUGCUGAUCUGAAGGUUGGGUUGAUGACCUGAAGGUUGCCGGUUUGAAUCCACGAGAUGGGGUGAGCUCCCAUCUGUCAGCUCUACCUUGAAAGAAGCCUCCCAGCAGGAUGGCAACACAUUUGGCGUCCCCUGGGCAACAUCUCUGUAGACAGCCAAUUCUCUCACACUAGAAGCGACUUGCAAUAUGAUCUCAAGUUGCUUCUGACACGAUAAAAAAUCAUUUACUACCAGUUAUUCAGUUUCCACUGUUGAAUUAACUGUCUACACUGUUGAAUUAAUGCAGUUUCACACUACUUUAACUACCAUGUCUCAAUGCAAUUGAACAGUAGAAGCUGUAGCGGUCAGUCACCAGCACAAAGUGGCAUAAAAUACAAAAGACCUGUAAAACUAUAACUUCUUUGGUUCCAAAGCAUUGCACUAGGACAGUUAAAUUGGUGUGAAACGGCAUUAAUAUAAUGUAGAUGCACCCUACAAGUCUAUACAUCCCAAUCUCUCUGAUAAUUGAAUUAUUCCUGCUAAGAAAUGCCAACUUCAUCUAAGAAGAAACCUUCUACACAAGGAUUACUUCAUACCCCCAGCACACUGCUUACUGACUCUUUUCCUUUCUUUUCUUAUCUGCUGUUUGCUUGUGUCAAGCAAAUAAAUGUUGUAACUACCCAAUGUAUUUUUGCUCUGCUCAUAAUGAGCUAAUAAAAUGUUUUAAAUAAAAAAAACAGAUGUUCUGUACCUUUUUAAAACGAUCAAAUAAAGAAAUCCAAUUUUCCCUUGCCAUUGUUACCUCUGGUUUUCUUCCUGUGACUUAUAAACACGCCCCGAAAGGCAGAACAAAAAUACUAAGGCAAACCCAGAGCAGCUUUGCAAGGGGAAAAAAUCCAUCUGCUGCAAUGUAAUUGCUACCUCUCAAAAGAGCUCUGUCUUAAAAUUCAUGAGAGCCCAUCAGCAUUUCAUAAAGUAACCACAUAAGGGAGCAGCUGGCAUAAUUUCUGUAUUCUUGUGUCUGUUACGCUCCCUGGACAAGACUACAUAAUGUUCCUAGAAUGAAUCAUACUGUAAUAUUUUAUGUCCAGCGAAGCCAAAGGUCUCCACCUUCAUUCACCAAAUUGUGUGUCUUUGCAAGAAAGGAGUCAUCCAUCACUGAGGUUUAUUGGAUUUUAAUGAACUACGUUUAGGUUUCUGCACAUGAUCCUGUUGUUCACUGUAAAGUAAUGAAGAAAUAUGCCCCCAUCCGAAGGAUCUGAGAAGACUGUUAGGACAACGGUACCAGCUAGCAAGUUUGCCUGUAUUCCAAAAUGAUAUGUCAAUUGUGAUUGUUUUAACAUGUUGGGUGCAUCUACACUGUAGAAAGAAUGUAGUUUGUCACUCCUUGAGCUGCCAUCUCUCAAUGCUAUGAAACCAAACGUCAAAGUUUAAUUUAUCUUAACUUUUGCAGAAUGACCAAAAUCAUUUGUAUUCUAUUAAAGUGCAUAAUAAAGACAUUGAAAUCAAGAUUUUGCAUACCUAGGGUCAGUCACUAAUCCAAAUGAAGAGCACUCUGCACUGUAGAAUUAAUCCUGGCAUUUGUAGUUUGGUGUGGCACCAUCACACUUUUGCAGAAAAGAUAAAGACCUUGCAAAAUUACAACUCCCAUCAUUCCAGAGCACUGAGUCAUGGCAGUUAAAGUGGUGUGAAAAUUACACUAAUUACUGUAUAUUCUCAAGUAUAAGCCUAGUUUUUCAACCCUUUAUAAAAGACUGAAAAAGCCCCCCACGGCUUAUACUUGGGUGAAGGUCCUGGUUGGCUUAUAUUUGAGUCAGCUUAUACUUGAGUAUAUAUGGUACAUUUAUUAUUUUUCUCUAUUAUUAUUGGUAUUAAUACAUUCAUUAUUUCAAUCUGAUCAUAUUAUUAUUAUUAUAUUUAUUUUACUCUAUUUAUUACUACAUGUAUUAUUUUCCUGUAUUUAUUAUUAUUAUUAUUAUUAUUAUUAUUAUUAUUACAUGUAUUAUUUUA